This 315-nucleotide ribosomal RNA is filed under the name uncultured eukaryote. RNAcentral's name for it is "partial 18S ribosomal RNA". It matches the Rfam family "Eukaryotic small subunit ribosomal RNA", at positions 1470 to 1796 of the family's 1831-position model. The record is from RNAcentral.
CCCUUAGACGUUCUGGGCCGCACGCGCGCUACACUGACCAGUGCAACAAGCAUCCGUCCUUGGCCGACAGGCCCGGGCAAUCUUUGAACGCUGGUCGUGAUGGGGAUAGACUUUUGCAAUUUUUGGUCUUCAACGAGGAAUUCCUAGUAAACGCAAGUCAUCAACUUGCAUUGAUUACGUCCCUGCCCUUUGUACACACCGCCCGUCGCACCUACCGAUUGAAUGGUCCGGUGAAGCCUCCGGAUUGGCGCGCACCUCGGUGCCGCCGAGAAGUUGGCUAAACCUUACCAUUUAGAGGAAGGUGUAGUCGUANCA